UACGUAGGGGGCUAGCGUUGUCCGGAAUCAUUGGGCGUAAAGGGCUCGUAGGCGGUCCGUCACGUCGGGAGUGAAAACUCAGGGCUCAACCCUGAGCGUGCUUCCGAUACGGGCGGACUAGAGGUAUGCAGGGGAGAACGGAAUUCCUGGUGUAGCGGUGGAAUGCGCAGAUAUCAGGAGGAACACCUAUGGCGAAGGCAGCUCGCUGGGACGGUACUGACGCUGAGACGCGAAAGCGUGGGGAGCGAACAGG
RNAcentral lists this ribosomal RNA (253 nucleotides) under uncultured bacterium. RNAcentral's name for it is "partial 16S ribosomal RNA". It matches the Rfam family "Bacterial small subunit ribosomal RNA", at positions 524 to 776 of the family's 1533-position model. The record is from RNAcentral.